This 497-nucleotide ribosomal RNA is filed under the name uncultured bacterium. RNAcentral's name for it is "partial 16S ribosomal RNA". It matches the Rfam family "Bacterial small subunit ribosomal RNA", at positions 28 to 507 of the family's 1533-position model. The record is from RNAcentral.
GAUGAACGCUGGCGGCGUGCCUAAUACAUGCAAGUCGAGCGAACAGAUGAGGAGCUUGCUCCUCUGACGUUAGCGGCGGACGGGUGAGUAACACGUGGAUAACCUACCUAUAAGACUGGGAUAACUUCGGGAAACCGGAGCUAAUACCGGAUAAUAUAUUGAACCGCAUGGUUCAAUAGUGAAAGACGGUUUUGCUGUCACUUAUAGAUGGAUCCGCGCCGCAUUAGCUAGUUGGUAAGGUAACGGCUUACCAAGGCGACGAUGCGUAGCCGACCUGAGAGGGUGAUCGGCCACACUGGAACUGAGACACGGUCCAGACUCCUACGGGAGGCAGCAGUAGGGAAUCUUCCGCAAUGGGCGAAAGCUUGACGGAGCAACGCCGCGUGAGUGAUGAAGGUCUUCGGAUCGUAAAACUCUGUUAUUAGGGAAGAACAAAUGUGUAAGUAACUAUGCACGUCUUGUCGGUACCUAAUCAGAAAGCCACGGCUAACUACGUG